This 253-nucleotide ribosomal RNA is filed under the name uncultured bacterium. RNAcentral describes it as "partial 16S ribosomal RNA". It matches the Rfam family "Bacterial small subunit ribosomal RNA", at positions 524 to 776 of the family's 1533-position model. The record is from RNAcentral.
AACGUAGGAGACGAGCGUUAUCCGGAUUUACUGGGCGUAAAGCGCGUGCAGGCGGUUUAUUAAGUCACUUGUGAGAGCGCCCGGCUCAACUGGGCGAGGCCGUGUGAGACUGAUAGACUUGAGAGAGGUAGAGGCGAAUGGAAUUCCGGGUGGAGUGGUGAAAUGCGUAGAGAUCCGGAGGAACACCAGUGGCGAAGGCGAUUCGCUGGGCCUUCUCUGACGCUCAGACGCGACAGCAUGGGGAGCGAACGGG